GUGGAGCAUGUGGUUUAAUUCGAAGCANNNCGAAGAACCUUACCAGGUCUUGACAUCCUCUGACAACUCUAGAGAUAGAGCGUUCCCCUUCGGGGGACAGAGUGACAGGUGGUGCAUGGUUGUCGUCAGCUCGUGUCGUGAGAUGUUGGGUUAAGUCCCGCAACGAGCGCAACCCUUGAUCUUAGUUGCCAGCAUUUAGUUGGGCACUCUAAGGUGACUGCCGGUGACAAACCGGAGGAAGGUGGGGAUGACGUCAAAUCAUCAUGCCCCUUAUGACCUGGGCUACACACGUGCUACAAUGGAUGGUACAAAGGGCUGCAAGACCGCGAGGUCAAGCCAAUCCCAUAAAACCAUUCUCAGUUCGGAUUGUAGGCUGCAACUCGCCUACAUGAAGCUGGAAUCGCUAGUAAUCGCGGAUCAGCAUGCCGCGGUGAAUACGUUCCCGGGCCUUGUACACACCGCCCGUCACACCACGAGAGUUUGUAAC
Molecule: ribosomal RNA, 487 nt
Filed under: Priestia sp.
Lineage: Bacteria; Bacillati; Bacillota; Bacilli; Caryophanales; Bacillaceae
Description: bacterial SSU rRNA
Rfam family: Bacterial small subunit ribosomal RNA
Source: RNAcentral